Talpa occidentalis (Iberian mole) is the source of this 714-nucleotide long non-coding RNA. RefSeq lists it as uncharacterized. The transcript is spliced from 3 exons. The record is from RefSeq and is a predicted model, not a curated record. NCBI's taxonomy places the organism in Eukaryota, Metazoa, Chordata, Mammalia, Eulipotyphla, Talpidae.
CUGGAUUCAACAAUGUUCUAGGCACAAAGCACUGCGCAGAAGCUGCACCAAUCCUUGCCGUUGCUGGCAGCAGAAUGGUAGAAGGUGGGAGAGACCAGGAAUCCUUCCAGGCUGUGCUGACUUUAGAAAUGAGGAUUGCACACAUUUGUCUCCUGAAGCAAAAGGAGAUAAGCAGCAGAAUUUAUCAGGCGUGAAAGGGACAGCCUCCUGGUGGCCUGCCAAAAACCCAGAAUAAAGGCGAAGUUGUGCUUCAAAGCUCAGUCGCUUGCUGAGUCUGGCUAAAGUCAAGUAUUAAGAUCCACCAUUUUCUGAGCCAUGCUAGAAAAGAAGAAAAAAGUCAGGACCGUUGCUGCUUUCCAAGUCUCCGUUGGCACCAUCACAAAAUCUCAGUCGCCAGGUCACAUGAUUCUCUGCCAAAUGUAGAGUGCAUUCCCAUCAACCGUUCUGCUGAUACUGGGAAGGCAGCUAUUGUCUCGUUUAGACCCAAAGUUCAGCCCACUCUUCAUUGAAUUAGCUGAAAAACGCAUCACCUUUGGGGGCUGGGAGUCAUGGAAACGUCUACCUGGCAAGCUGCCCACUUUUUCUGCCCAUCAACCAGAGAUGGGAUUGUGCUGCCUAAUGCAAUGAUGACUUGGAAUGUGAAGAGUCGUCCAAAGUGAAUCUGAUUCUUGCAACGCCUGUUUCAGUUUGCACAGAAAACUCUGGCUUCUUGUA